Oncorhynchus nerka (sockeye salmon) is the source of this 2110-nucleotide long non-coding RNA. RefSeq lists it as uncharacterized. Lineage: Eukaryota; Metazoa; Chordata; Actinopteri; Salmoniformes; Salmonidae. The record is from RefSeq and is a predicted model, not a curated record. The transcript has 3 exons.
AGGUUCUACCUGGAACCAACAAGGGUUCUUCAAAAAGUUAUCCUAUGGGGACAGCCGAAUAACCCUUUUAGGGUCUAGAGACAGCACCUUUUUUUCUAAGAGUGUAGUUUUAUCAGAGACAUUUUUAGGAAAAGCAGCUCAUUUAGCAAGCGCAUAAAAUGUCUAUCGGAUAUAAAUAGCUAGUACUAUUCUAUAGGCUUUCCUCCUUGCUAGUCUGCAGGUGCUUGAGUACUUGAUUAUGAUGUUGUGGCUGUAACAUUUCCUGGACAUUGCAUAAGUACAACAACAACUAGAACUAACAACUUUAUCAGAUAUACAUUUUCAGGAAAAGCAGCUCAUUUAGCAAGCCAAUAAAAUAAUGUAUUGCAUUGGUUCAACCUUGAAAUCUAGCUACGCAAGACAGAGAUCUUACCUUUUUGUCUCUGUAGCGGUUUGCUCUAACCUCGUCUGGGCACUGCAACAGCCAGAUAGAAGCAGCUGCACAUCAGAUCUUAUUCCCCAUUCUCUAUUGUCUAGAUUCUACAGGUAGGUAGCCUGUUCUCCUAAAACAUGAGCUACCAGCUAGCCAACUUGAGCAAAUACGUCUCAGCUUGCUAACUAGCAAAGCCAACCAAUUACACAACAAAUAUACACAAAGUAAACAAUUACUUUCCAAACUAAUGUUAGUCUCAACCAAAUGACAAUUACAAAGACCUAUUGCUACGAUUCCAAAAGUAACAACCAUUAGUUACAGGCAAGACAGAAGACUAUUGCUAGCUAGCUAGCCAGCUAUGCUAUUUCAAUGAAAAUAAGAUAGCUAGUGAGCGUCAACUUUGUAGUUGUAAUGCAACAUGGAAACACUUUUUUAAAUUUCGCCUUGCUCUAUUGUUUACAUUAGUAAAUGUAAUUUACUAAUUUUAUCAAUUUUAUCCAUAUUUAGCAACAUCUCCCACCCCCCCGAGUAAGCAAUUCACCCUGACCAGACGGGUAUCAAACAAAGUCAAACUCCUGGAAAUUGACAAGGGAGGGGCUACAAAGUGGUACUUUCAGACCCUUGAAAUUGUGCUAGUUACUACAUAGACGUUCAAAACGUGUGCGGUAGCACAAUUUCAUGCGUCUGAAAGUACAACAUUCAUGCUUUCUAACCGAUUGGUGUACAUUUUUAAACUUAAUUCUUCCGCAUGUCCUUUUUGCAUGAACAGGUGAAUAAAACACAUCUUCUUAAUUUCACACAUUGUGAGCAUUUUUACCCUAGAUUUUUUUCACCUGUUGUGUUUGCAUUUCCAAGUGUAGGAAACGCGUGUCUUCUGUGAAGCUACUUUUCAAAGUAGGAAUUUCCCAGUUGAAGGACAAUUAUAUGGUUGAUUUUCUCUUUUCCAAAAGCCAUAAAGCUUUUCGUAAAGCCUUUAUAUUUAGAAAAUUAUAAUUGUGUUAAUAUACAGUAUCUAUAAAUAUAGAAGCCCACUGAUUGAUAUCUUCAAGCAAGCUUAAGAUCAAAAAACAUCGAUGGAGGAGCUCUUUCGCUAACGUUACCUAUCUCAAUCGGCUUCAACGUGGAGACUGUGACUCGCAAGAACCUUAAGUUCCAGGUGUGGGAUCUUGUUGGACAGAUGAGUUUCAGGGAAAUGCACGAAUAGUCACCAUGCAGUAUGUCUGAAGUUGGGAAGCAGCCUCAACUGGGAAACACAAAUGGGCUGUUCACACAAACUUUUCGAGUGAAACUGUGGUAUCCAGUCACGACCAUAUUCUGUAUGAGAUUCAGCAAUAGUCUGUCAUUAUGAAUUGCUUUGUCUUGAAAUCCAUUUUCCUUACCUUGUAUUGUGUGGAACAAACAAGCCUCACUGACUGUAGAAUAACAAAUCAUGUCAGCUCUAUUUAUAACAUUUCUAUUGGCAACAUUUGCCUACUGAAAAUGCCCCAGGAAAUCGAGGGGUACAAUCAGGGGUGUAAUCAUUACACAAAAUCUAUUGCAAAACGUUUAGUCUGUCACAAAACGUUUUGUAACAGAAACCGUUUACUGCCGAUGCUGUUCAGUUCCAUUUUGUUCUUAACUCCCUUUCCUCUACUACUACUUUUCCUAGCUUCCUUUCCUCAUUUCCUUUCCUAUUGUUUGUGUUUCCUUUCCUGGAUU